GUCCCCCCACCCCUGCAGACCAUGAGAAAGGUGAUUCGUUAUAUCCUGCCACCCAUUUAGUAUGUUCUGUAGGGGUUAAUACUGUCUCCAUUACCUCAUUAAGAUCUUAGGUUGUGGGGAAAUAGCUGGCACACAUUAUUUUUAAAUGUUUUACAAACCCAUUUGGAUCUAGAGGGGGCAGGAAAUGAUACCUGUAAAAAUGCUAUGUCUUGUGGGCUCCACGGUUGACAAAUCCUCCGUGGUCUCCCAUCAUUAUCCAUCUGUCCCACUUCUCUAAUAGGUAAAAUCAUAGCCUCACUCCCAUCACUCUCAGGCAACACAUUUCUACAUCCUGAUAAACCUGAUAGUAACCACAGCAUGAUCAGCAAAUCUUUUAGGCAGUCUAAUAUCCCUCUCAGGUCUACCACCUCAAUGCAACAUGGCUGAGGCACCAGCUAAAUUUUGGGGUACAAGCUGUGGUGCAUCAUUCAUCUGCUGAGGGGCGGUGACCCAAAGAGGGAUUCAUAAUCUCAUGAUUAAUCAAAAAAUCCUCAUCA
This is a non-coding RNA of Pelobates cultripes (western spadefoot toad), 536 nucleotides long. NCBI's taxonomy places the organism in Eukaryota, Metazoa, Chordata, Amphibia, Anura, Pelobatidae. The record is from the annotation of a GenBank genome assembly.